AGCGUACACGGUGGAUGCCCUGGCAGUCAGAGGCGAUGAAGGACGUGCUAAUCUGCGAUAAGCGUCGGUAAGGUGAUAUGAACCGUUAUAACCGGCGAUUUCCGAAUGGGGAAACCCAGUGUGUUUCGACACACUAUCAUUAACUGAAUCCAUAGGUUAAUGAGGCGAACCGGGGGAACUGAAACAUCUAAGUACCCCGAGGAAAAGAAAUCAACCGAGAUUCCCCCAGUAGCGGCGAGCGAACGGGGAGCAGCCCAGAGCCUGAAUCAGUAUGUGUGUUAGUGGAAGCGUCUGGAAAGGCGCGCGAUACAGGGUGACAGCCCCGUACACAAAAAUGCACAUAUUGUGAGCUCGAUGAGUAGGGCGGGACACGUGGUAUCCUGUCUGAAUAUGGGGGGACCAUCCUCCAAGGCUAAAUACUCCUGACUGACCGAUAGUGAACCAGUACCGUGAGGGAAAGGCGAAAAGAACCCCGGCGAGGGGAGUGAAAAAGAACCUGAAACCGUGUACGUACAAGCAGUGGGAGCACGCUUAGGCGUGUGACUGCGUACCUUUUGUAUAAUGGGUCAGCGACUUAUAUUCUGUAGCAAGGUUAACCGAAUAGGGGAGCCGAAGGGAAACCGAGUCUUAACUGGGCGUUAAGUUGCAGGGUAUAGACCCGAAACCCGGUGAUCUAGCCAUGGGCAGGUUGAAGGUUGGGUAACACUAACUGGAGGACCGAACCGACUAAUGUUGAAAAAUUAGCGGAUGACUUGUGGCUGGGGGUGAAAGGCCAAUCAAACCGGGAGAUAGCUGGUUCUCCCCGAAAGCUAUUUAGGUAGCGCCUCGUGAAUUCAUCUCCGGGGGUAGAGCACUGUUUCGGCAAGGGGGUCAUCCCGACUUACCAACCCGAUGCAAACUGCGAAUACCGGAGAAUGUUAUCACGGGAGACACACGGCGGGUGCUAACGUCCGUCGUGAAGAGGGAAACAACCCAGACCGCCAGCUAAGGUCCCAAAGUCAUGGUUAAGUGGGAAACGAUGUGGGAAGGCCCAGACAGCCAGGAUGUUGGCUUAGAAGCAGCCAUCAUUUAAAGAAAGCGUAAUAGCUCACUGGUCGAGUCGGCCUGCGCGGAAGAUGUAACGGGGCUAAACCAUGCACCGAAGCUGCGGCAGCGACGCUUAUGCGUUGUUGGGUAGGGGAGCGUUCUGUAAGCCUGUGAAGGUGUACUGUGAGGUAUGCUGGAGGUAUCAGAAGUGCGAAUGCUGACAUAAGUAACGAUAAAGCGGGUGAAAAGCCCGCUCGCCGGAAGACCAAGGGUUCCUGUCCAACGUUAAUCGGGGCAGGGUGAGUCGACCCCUAAGGCGAGGCCGAAAGGCGUAGUCGAUGGGAAACAGGUUAAUAUUCCUGUACUUGGUGUUACUGCGAAGGGGGGACGGAGAAGGCUAUGUUGGCCGGGCGACGGUUGUCCCGGUUUAAGCGUGUAGGCUGGUUUUCCAGGCAAAUCCGGAAAAUCAAGGCUGAGGCGUGAUGACGAGGCACUACGGUGCUGAAGCAACAAAUGCCCUGCUUCCAGGAAAAGCCUCUAAGCAUCAGGUAACAUCAAAUCGUACCCCAAACCGACACAGGUGGUCAGGUAGAGAAUACCAAGGCGCUUGAGAGAACUCGGGUGAAGGAACUAGGCAAAAUGGUGCCGUAACUUCGGGAGAAGGCACGCUGAUAUGUAGGUGAAGCGACUUGCUCGUGGAGCUGAAAUCAGUCGAAGAUACCAGCUGGCUGCAACUGUUUAUUAAAAACACAGCACUGUGCAAACACGAAAGUGGACGUAUACGGUGUGACGCCUGCCCGGUGCCGGAAGGUUAAUUGAUGGGGUUAGCGCAAGCGAAGCUCUUGAUCGAAGCCCCGGUAAACGGCGGCCGUAACUAUAACGGUCCUAAGGUAGCGAAAUUCCUUGUCGGGUAAGUUCCGACCUGCACGAAUGGCGUAAUGAUGGCCAGGCUGUCUCCACCCGAGACUCAGUGAAAUUGAACUCGCUGUGAAGAUGCAGUGUACCCGCGGCAAGACGGAAAGACCCCGUGAACCUUUACUAUAGCUUGACACUGAACAUUGAGCCUUGAUGUGUAGGAUAGGUGGGAGGCUUUGAAGUGUAGACGCCAGUCUGCAUGGAGCCGACCUUGAAAUACCACCCUUUAAUGUUUGAUGUUCUAACGUUGACCCGUAAUCCGGGUUGCGGACAGUGUCUGGUGGGUAGUUUGACUGGGGCGGUCUCCUCCUAAAGAGUAACGGAGGAGCACGAAGGUUGGCUAAUCCUGGUCGGACAUCAGGAGGUUAGUGCAAUGGCAUAAGCCAGCUUGACUGCGAGCGUGACGGCGCGAGCAGGUGCGAAAGCAGGUCAUAGUGAUCCGGUGGUUCUGAAUGGAAGGGCCAUCGCUCAACGGAUAAAAGGUACUCCGGGGAUAACAGGCUGAUACCGCCCAAGAGUUCAUAUCGACGGCGGUGUUUGGCACCUCGAUGUCGGCUCAUCACAUCCUGGGGCUGAAGUAGGUCCCAAGGGUAUGGCUGUUCGCCAUUUAAAGUGGUACGCGAGCUGGGUUUAGAACGUCGUGAGACAGUUCGGUCCCUAUCUGCCGUGGGCGCUGGAGAACUGAGGGGGGCUGCUCCUAGUACGAGAGGACCGGAGUGGACGCAUCACUGGUGUUCGGGUUGUCAUGCCAAUGGCACUGCCCGGUAGCUAAAUGCGGAAGAGAUAAGUGCUGAAAGCAUCUAAGCACGAAACUUGCCCCGAGAUGAGUUCUCCCUGACUCCUUGA
RNAcentral lists this ribosomal RNA (2787 nucleotides) under Escherichia coli. RNAcentral describes it as "bacterial LSU rRNA". It matches the Rfam family "Bacterial large subunit ribosomal RNA". The record is from RNAcentral. Lineage: Bacteria; Pseudomonadati; Pseudomonadota; Gammaproteobacteria; Enterobacterales; Enterobacteriaceae.